RNAcentral lists this ribosomal RNA (242 nucleotides) under uncultured bacterium. RNAcentral's name for it is "partial 16S ribosomal RNA". It matches the Rfam family "Bacterial small subunit ribosomal RNA", at positions 92 to 334 of the family's 1533-position model. The record is from RNAcentral.
CGACCGGCGCACGGGUGAGUAACACGUAUCCAACCUGCCGAUAACUCGGGGAUAGCCUUUCGAAAGAAAGAUUAAUAUCCGAUAGCAUAUCAAUCCCCGCAUGAGAUUGAUAUUAAAGAAUUUCGGUUAUCGAUGGGGAUGCGUUCCAUUAGUUUGUUGGCGGGGUAACGGCCCACCAAGACUACGAUGGAUAGGGGUUCUGAGAGGAAGGUCCCCCACAUUGGAACUGAGACACGGUCCAA